Molecule: transfer RNA, 91 nt
Filed under: Mycobacterium senuense
Lineage: Bacteria; Bacillati; Actinomycetota; Actinomycetes; Mycobacteriales; Mycobacteriaceae
Description: Mycolicibacter senuensis tRNA-Asp
Source: RNAcentral
ACUGACGUGGCCAAGCGCGGCGGCCGGCUGUCGGCGGGCCAGCGUCAGCUGGUCGCGUUCGCGCGGGCGUUCCUCGCCGACCCGGCGGUGC